CACCAUCUACCAGAGUGAGCUAAGGACAGAGCUGUGAUAGUCCCAAGCCUGUGGGUAAAUCCAGGGCAGAGUCCAGCUGCAGCGAGGCGUUGCAGUCUGCAGCUGGCUCCAGCUGGAGUGCCUUGGCUGGGGGCGAGGAGGGAAAGGGAGAGAGAGGCAGCAUCAGGGGGAAGGUCACUGCAAAUCUGCACGUUACCAAAGGCAGCUUUAACCCUUAGGCCAAACUCGUGGACGUGCUCAUUGGUAGGAGCAUUCUGGAGACUGGGACGCUCCUUAAAAAUCUGUUGAAAAGCGGUGGAGGCAACAGAAGACCUUCAGAGUGACCUCCCUUUGGAGAGUGCUUAAUGCUGGUUGAGUGGCUUGUGUCCUUAGGAUUUUGCUGUUUUGCUCCCUGGAUUUGGAGGCUGUGGAGUAAUUUUAGGGGAAGGGAAGAGUGUAUACUUGGCCUGGCUGCUCUGGUGGCAGUUGCUGCUGUUGGCUUUUUGUAGUGUCUGCGCUCACAAAGAGCUUUCUAAAAUGCAUGUUUGGUCACCAGCUGUGUUUCAGCCUCUGUCAGGAUGGAUGAGCAACUGGGAUACGGUGGAACUCUCUGUGGAGUAGCUGUAGAAGUUUUGGAAGCCUAACUUUAAAGAAAGGAAAGAGAAAUCUUGUUGCACUUCCUUAAAAAUUAUUAAAUGCUGAUUGACACCAUCUCCGCAGCAGCUGACUGUGAUGUCACUGAUGGCAGAAGUCAAGUGGGGAAUCUGUUUCAGGAGGAUUCAACCAAUUGCAAGAUCUUGUUUUCUUGAAAAGUUCUUAAUUCCC
Molecule: long non-coding RNA, 804 nt
Organism: Mauremys reevesii (Reeves's turtle)
Lineage: Eukaryota; Metazoa; Chordata; Testudines; Geoemydidae
Exons: 2
Source: RefSeq, a predicted model, not a curated record